This 253-nucleotide ribosomal RNA is filed under the name uncultured bacterium. RNAcentral's name for it is "partial 16S ribosomal RNA". It matches the Rfam family "Bacterial small subunit ribosomal RNA", at positions 524 to 776 of the family's 1533-position model. The record is from RNAcentral.
UACAGAGGGGGCAAGCGUUGUUCGGAAUUACUGGGCGUAAAGGGCGCGUAGGCGGCCUGUUAAGUCGAACGUGAAAUCCCCGGGCUCAACCCGGGAACUGCGUCCGAUACUGGUAGGCUUGAAUCCGGGAGAGGGAUGCGGAAUUCCAGGUGUAGCGGUGAAAUGCGUAGAUAUCUGGAGGAACACCGGUGGCGAAGGCGGCAUCCUGGACCGGCAUUGACGCUGAGGCGCGAAAGCCAUGGGAGCAAACGGG